UCUAUAUAGAUUCGAGCGAGAAUCAAGGCUGCUGCUGUUGCUGCUGCAGCUGUCGAUAGGUAUAGACGUGACUGGAAUCGUGCAAGCGGGAAUUAUUGCUACAAGCUUGGCGCGAAACACACGUCAAAACUCUAUAGACGCAUCGUGGCCGUGAUUGUUGUUGCUGCUACUGCUGUUCCUCCUCCUCACGAGGGUAUUAUAUUUUAACAAAUGAAAGAAGCGAUUAUAAUACCAACUUGCGAAUUAAUAGGAUUUUCCUUAGCUUUAAGGCUAUUAUACGUAAUAUUUUCCAGCUUUGCGCGAGGGACCAGAGAGAAAAGGCAGAGCUCUCGAGCGCCGCCGCCACCGCCACGAUGAAUGUAACUAAUCUGUAUAGCAACAUAUUCGCGUUACUCCAGCCGGGCCGCAGUCGUUGCAAGCUCGUUGCAAGCUCGCUCGCGCGCACCCGAGCUUUAGCGGCAAUUCGCAUCGAGUGUAAUAUAGUGCAGAUUUGGGCAAGCCGCACCACACGCACGCAUACACACACUUUACCCGGGGAAACUCUCCACAGGACUAUGCGCAAUUGAAAAUAAUCCCCGAGUAUCCGUGGCCUCGGCCAACUAAUUGAUAUUCAUGUAAUCUCGGGAAUUGACUUAUCAGAGACGAGGGAACACAAAGCAACUGAUGCGGAUUUACCCGCAAAAUCCAAUGAUGGUUUCAGAGGCACGGCUACACGACGCGCGAACGAGAGGGAAAGAAAGCCUUGACCCGGAAAGCGCACACAACUCGAGGCUAAGGGAUCAAAGGGUCAAAUAAUCAGAAAGAAAUCUCGUAUUCGAAACGAGGUAAAUAAACAUCCACACCGACGUCGAACUGAUUCAGGAGCUAGUACACGAUAAUCUUCCCAGAUAAAAGAACGAGACGCAGCAGCAGCUCGGUCGAGAGCUGCAAAAAAAGAGGGGAAGAAAAAACUCCAGGGAUUCGAGCUCGAGCGAGCUAUUGAAAAGUCCAAGAAAUGCGAAAAACAAACGAGAAUUGCUCGAGGCGUCUGCGGCAACCCUCAUAUAUACGCGCGUGCGGUCGCUCGGCGCUAUUUAACGCUUUAUUUUAGCAGCGUCAUGCAACCGUCUCCUAUAUUACUGAAGGAUUUGAAAGAAAAAUAAUAAAAAAAAAAGCCGCGAAAGAAGCCACGCUUGGAAGCAAACGUACGAGUAUUUUUUUUCACCCACCCUCUAUCUCUCUCUCUCUCUCUUCAGUAUAAAGAGGGAUAUCUCCGCGCAAUUGGUUCGUCGAAGACGCGCAUACAGCAGCUACAGAAUUUAAGCUUUUAAUCUUGGAAUGGAGCCCCGGGCUGAGUUCCAAAUUUUUCUCCGGAUAUCCUCUACGUAUACGCGAGCAUACCCAUAGCUGCACACGCAGCUAGCAAUGGGAAAACAUACA
Molecule: long non-coding RNA, 1419 nt
Organism: Trichogramma pretiosum
Lineage: Eukaryota; Metazoa; Arthropoda; Insecta; Hymenoptera; Trichogrammatidae
Exons: 3
Source: RefSeq, a predicted model, not a curated record